UCGUUUCCUUUGAUACUUUGGUGGC
RNAcentral lists this non-coding RNA (25 nucleotides) under Cricetulus griseus (Chinese hamster). Lineage: Eukaryota; Metazoa; Chordata; Mammalia; Rodentia; Cricetidae. The record is from RNAcentral.